RNAcentral lists this transfer RNA (94 nucleotides) under Morganella morganii. RNAcentral describes it as "tRNA-seC(tca)". It matches the Rfam family "Selenocysteine transfer RNA". Lineage: Bacteria; Pseudomonadati; Pseudomonadota; Gammaproteobacteria; Enterobacterales; Morganellaceae. The record is from RNAcentral.
CGGAAGAUCAUCGUCCCCGGUGGGGCGGCCGGACUUCAAAUCCGGUUGGGGCCGCCAGCGGUCCCGGGCAGGUUCGACUCCUGUGAUCUCCGCC